Molecule: RNase P RNA, 388 nt
Filed under: Candidatus Peribacteraceae bacterium
Lineage: Bacteria; Candidatus Peregrinibacteriota; Candidatus Peribacteria; Candidatus Peribacterales
Description: RNase P RNA component class A
Rfam family: Bacterial RNase P class A
About the family: Ribonuclease P (RNase P) is a ubiquitous endoribonuclease, found in archaea, bacteria and eukarya as well as chloroplasts and mitochondria.
Source: RNAcentral
CCCGCUCUUUGGAUGAUCGCUGCGCCUCUUGAAGGCGUAGAGGAACGUCCGGGCACGACUGGAACGCUUAGUGGGUAACGCCCACCCAUGCGCCCCAUAUACGGCAAAUGCGCAUGCGGACCAGUGCCACAGAGACGAGCCCCCUGUUUUAUUACUUGGGGCAUGUGAAACGCCUCCGGCUUGAACGGAGGACUGACCGAAAGGUCGAUCGGUAAACUCUAGGUCGUGCAAGGAGGAUUUGGGUGAGUGGGUUAUCUGAUGGUUCCGUCAGACCACAUACCCCUCCGCUAGAGGUCGGUAGCGAUACCGAUCCCAGAUAGAUGAUCAUCUCGGCGUAGCUCGCAAGAGCGAAGCCGGACAAAACCCGGCGUAUAGAAGGGCGGGAACA